Molecule: ribosomal RNA, 330 nt
Filed under: uncultured eukaryote
Lineage: Eukaryota
Description: partial 18S ribosomal RNA
Rfam family: Eukaryotic small subunit ribosomal RNA
Source: RNAcentral
CCCUUAGAUGUUCUGGGCCGCACGCGCGCUACACUGACGAAGUCAGCGAGCAUCUCCUACGCCGAAAGGUGCGGGGAAUCUUGUGAAACUUUGUCGUGCUGGGGAUUGAUUUUUGAAAUUCUUGAUCAUCAACGAGGAAUUCCUAGUAAGCGCAAGUCAGCAGCUUGCGUUGAUUACGUCCCUGCCCUUUGUACACACCGCCCGUCGCUACUACCGAUUGAAUGGUUUAGUGAGAUUUUUGGACUGGAACUCUCUUGUUCAGCAAUGAACGAGAGGGGCUCUGGGAAGCUAUUCUAACUGUAUCAUUUAGAGGAAGUAAAAGUCGUAACA